RNAcentral lists this small nuclear RNA (97 nucleotides) under Pyrenochaeta sp. DS3sAY3a. Lineage: Eukaryota; Fungi; Ascomycota; Dothideomycetes; Pleosporales; Cucurbitariaceae. The record is from RNAcentral.
GCCUUCAGGCAUUUAGUUAUUGUAACGACACAGAGAAGAUUAGCACGGCCCCUGCACAAGGAUGACACGCUCAAUCAAAGAGAAGCUACCAUUUUUU